CACCCUCACAAUCCGUUCUCUGCCAUAAAAUGCUGAAGGGAAGCGCUUUACAUUAGCACUGUCACCAGCUGCUUCGCCAAAGCCUCCUGAGUCUGGGGGAGAUUUUGGCACCGCAUCUGAUGGAAGCUGCCGCCUGCAAGGAAACCCCGAGGCGUGCUCGGGCGAGCUGCUGCACUGCUCGUGACAUCCUGAGGCUGGUGAUGGAGCCCAACGGCUCGGGACGGGGCUGCAGCUGCCUGUCGCUGCUGCGCGCACGCUGCUGACUCAGAGCCGAGCGCCAGCAGCCCGCGGAGCAAGCGAGGAACCGGGCUUGGACUUUGUCCCCGGGGUGUCAGAGCCUCGUGCCGGCACCCGAGGGACGCCAGGAGGGCUGUGUGCCCCCCAGCAGGGACCUAGCGAUUAGCACUGGGGAUAUAUGUUACCACUUUCUGUUUUUUCUUUCGGUUUUUCAUGAGAAGAACAGACUGCGGCCAUGCAGACGGAAGCAGACUGCCUGAGCCCAGAAGCUCAGAAACUGGCUGAAGCGAGGCUGGCGGCGAAGCGAGCAGCACGGGCAGAGGCACGGGAGAUCCGAAUGAAGGAGCUCGAGCGGCAGCAGAAGGAGCCUUCAGAGUACAGCUGCUACCUUGGGUCAGGAUCUCGGGCAUCUUCAAGAGCCAGCUCUGCUCGAGCCAGUCCGGUGAUCGAGGAAAGGCCAGAAAAAGACUUUGAGAAGGGAGCACGGACCGUCUCGAGUUUAUCAGCAGCUACAUUAGCUUCUCUAGGUGGGACAUCUUCACGAAGAGGCAGUGGGGAUACGUCCAUCUCAGCAGAUACGGAGGCAUCUAUUAGAGAAAUAAAGGAUAUCUAUGAGUUAAAGGACCAGAUUCAGGAUAUAGAAGGCAAAUACAUGCAGGGACUGAAAGAAAUGAAGGACUCUUUAGCCGAAGUUGAAGAGAAAUAUAAAAAGGCUAUGGUGUCAAAUGCUCAAUUAGACAAUGAAAAAACAAAUUUCAUGUACCAAGUAGAUACCCUGAAGGAUGCCCUGUUAGAGUUAGAAGAACAGCUGGCAGAAUCCAGGAGGCAAUAUGAAGAAAAAAGUAAAGAAUUUGAGAGAGAGAAGCAUGCUCAUAGCAUAUUGCAGUUUCAGUUCAUGGAAGUCAAAGAGGCUUUGAAGCAAAGAGAAGAAAUGCUUGCAAAACAUGGAAUAAUCCCAGACUCUGACGUAGCUACCAAUGGGGAGACGUCUGACAUACUUGAUAACGAAAGACACUUGGAUUCUUCCAAAACUGUUCAAGGCACAGCACAGGCGUUAAAGACAGCAGGGGACGGGAUGUUAGGCAAAGCCAAUGAAGUGGACAUGAAAAAUGAGAUUUUGGAGGAUGUGGGGAAAAGAGAAAUCUUGCAGAAUACUGAGCAUGAGGAACACAAAGAGGAGUCUGAGGAGCAGGAAGUACAGACAUUGCAUGCUGAUGAAAACACAGAGGCAGAAAAAGUGAUUGAAGAAACCGAUGCCGGGUCAACAGCGAUGUUACCAGAUAGUAGGCUUACAGAACAAAACCAAAGCCUUGCAGAACCCGUGUCAGGGAAUGCUUCUUCAAACUGUGAUAGUGACGCAGAUGAUUUGAGAAAGGAGACAGAGUCAGCAGACACAGCAGCCCAACAGCCUGUUAGCGAGGAGGCUGAAUGCAGUAACUCACAUCCAAGGACAAAUCAGACCUCAGAGGUGGGCUCAGUGCAGGGUCAGGAUUUUGAGAGUCCUCAGGAAAUGCCCAGAGACUUAGGUACAGAGCAUGAACUGGAAGAAGCUGCUCCAGAACAGGAAGAACGAGAGGAUGUGGAAACUAGCCAUGCACUGAGUGCUAAUGACAUGGAACAAGCAGCUGACACUGCAAGCUGUGAGUUCGUUUCUGACCAGCCAGGGCUACCAGAGGCUGAAGUAGCAGGCUCCCUGAGCGAAGAGGUAAAUGUGGACAGUCACCUUGAGACACUCCAGCAUGUGGAAGAAAGUGCUGAGAACAAAGUUACAAAUGUCUUGGAGGAAAAGCUCCUUGAAAGCAAAGACUGCACUGAUGGGACAGCUGAUGAGAAGGGAGGUGAUAGAGCUGAAGAAGAAGACGAGGUGGGGAAUGCAGUUCAGGGUCAGGCAACAGAAAGGGAUUCUGUGGGUUUGGAGGGGAAAGAGUCCCAUGAAAGUGGUGUCCCAGCAGAUAAAAGUGAAAAAGAGGAGGGAGGAGAUCACGCAUGCAUUCAGCCACCUUCUUCAGAGGAUGCUCAUUUAGCAUUGUUAGAGGAACAGAAUAUGCAAGAGAGAACAGAACUUAAAGCUGCUGAGAAAGACGGACAGAAAGAAGUAUUGAUGGAAAACUUGGAGGUGUGUGCAGAUUCUGCAGGAGCAGGCAAGCAGGAGGAAGCACCUGCAGAGUCUGUGGGCUCUGUUACCGAGGUGAAAGGAAGCGUGCUGCAGCAGGCAGAGCCAGACCCAGACGUUGUGAAAGAAAUGGCAUCUCAGGAAAGCAGUUCAGACCCAAGGGUUUUAGAUGACAAAAUUCAGGAAUCAGAAGUGGAAAUACAAUGUGAGUCUGGGAAAAGAGAGGAAAGUAGGGCAGAAUGGGUGGAAGACUUAGAACCAAAGGUGGAACUUCAGACAGUUCAGUGUAGUAAAGACACAACAGGAGAUACAGUGGGAGAGAAAAAUAGUUCUUCAGAAGAUGAAGCACAGAAUGCAGGUAAGCAAGAGGAAGGUGAAGCACAGAAUGCAGGUAAGCAAGAGGAAGGUGAAGCACAAAACGUAGUGAAGCAAGAGGAAGGUGAAGCACAAAACAUAGUGAAGCAAGAGGAAGGUGAAGCACAAAACAUAGUGAAGCAAGAGGAAGGUGAAGCACAAAACGUAGUGAAGCAAGAGGAAGGUGAAGCACAAAACGUAGUGAAGCAAGAGGAAGGUGAAGCACAAACUGUAGUGAAGCAAGAGGAAGGUGAAUCUAAAGAGGAGUUAACUGUAGAUCUUAGUGGAACUAGUGAAAACCAAGCUGAUAAAGAAAUAUUGAAAGAAGAUGAGAAACAGUUAGAGUUUGCAAACCCCCAUGGUGAUGGAUUUGCUCCUGAGGAUGAUGCAAAUAAUUGUCUUGCACAGAAAGCUGAGAUAGAUGAAAAUAUUGGUGAGCGAGUUAGCUUGGAGGCUCAAGCAGAGGAAGGACUAGAAGAUGAUGGUGACGCAUUUGACUUCGAUGAAGAAUCAAAACAGAUACUCGAAACUGAUGAAAAAUCUGAUGGAGAGAAAGUUGAUACACAGAGUGGAGAGGAUGAUGGAGCAAAUGGCGUGGUCAAAAAAACUGUCGAAGCAAGUGAAGCUGGAAAAAGAACAGGUGAAAUAGAAACCGAAGUCCCCUUGACCGAAGAUGACAGCUUACGGCAUAAGAAAGGAGAUGAGUAUGGAGAAGCAGGGCACUUGCAAGGGGAAGAAGCAUCAUCGCUGAAAACUGAUGAGAAGGCUGAUGUGUUGGAAGAUGAAAGUAAAGCAUCAGAUUCUAAUGACGUGGAAAAAAUACCAGAUGUUUCAGAACAGGAUUUGGAAAGUGCUUACAGUAACAGGGAGGAAAGCAAAGAGGAUUUGCAAGGUGGUAGAAGGGCUAAGGGUAAAUCUAGAGAUGACUGUACAAUAUCCUAAGUUAAAAAUCUCAGGCUACACGAGAUACAUGCCAUUUGAUCAGUCUCAGUACAGAAGCAUGCACUUUGCACAACAAAUCAGGCCUUAGGAAUAUAGGAAUACUCUUAAGGGUUUUUUUUUCCUUAUAGGUAACUCUCAUCGUAAUACACUGCCAGGUCAUAUACAUGGUAAUGAUGCAACUAUUAAGUUAUUCACUGACGUACCUAGCCACAAAAAAUCAUGCGUGGGUUUGGUUUUGCUGUGUCUCAGGUUAAAUGUUACCAAAAGAGCAAGCUUCACAAAUAAGCUAUGCGGUCUAUCUUGCAAUUAAAGUACUUUUAGUGUGGAUAACUGCUACUGAGGAACUUUUAUAUGAAAUUCCUACUUUCUAGCCUACUAUAAUGAUAGGUUAUCUGAAUGUACUUCCAUGUGCAUUAGAUUGACAGUAUGUUAACGCCUUGUCAUGAAGGAACUCAGUAGGUCAGCAACACUGAGAUCUAAUGUUGAAACUUGUUGCUGAAUGAUUAAAGCCUAGGAACCAAUUUUUUGUUGCUGUGGAACAAGAUAAUGUCAUUCCACCUUUUGUAUCUUUCUAAUAUGGAUGUAUUCCAAAGUAUCAAUCACUGUGAAUCCACUUAGUCUAAACACUUUGGAGGAACAAUACACAGUUUGAAGGAAGUACAGCAUGCAGGUUGCUAAAAGAAACAAAUAUAUACCUGUUUACUUCAUCUAGGCACUUUGCACCACAAUAGGCCUUUUACACCAUGUCUCACGUGUUUUUUUUCCUAAGCAAGUAUCAGUACACACUGUAACGUGUGCUUAGGUUUGCUAUCCAGUACUGUCUAGCUAUGAAUAUUACAAAAUACCUAUUUUUCCAAGAAGGUUUUUGUUUAAAAUUACAUUCCUUACUGCGUUAUAUAUAUUUUUUUUUCCAAAAUAUUAUUCUGAAAGAAUGUUUUUUUCUCUGAAAAAUUCUUUCCUCUUUUUCUGGAGAGAGAUAACUUUGGAUGUCUUAGUCCUUACUGGGUGUUAGACCAAAGACUGUUGUUGUUUUCUAUACUAGCCCGUGAGCCUAUUUGAAAAGCUGGAGUACUUUGAAUUGUUGGCUUGAACUAGGCACUUCGACUCACUGCUAUAUUCCAUGCAUCUUUUGUAGUGCUUGGGAGGAAGAGCAUGUUUUGCAUAAGUUGUGUUAAGCAGUGAACAUCCAAAGGGAAUGCAAACUGAGCAGUCGGGAGGGGGGCUGUAGAAAGUUCUGUCUGUGUUGAUGUUACAAAGUUGAUGGAUUGCAAACAGACUGCAAAAUUUCAAGAUGUAUAUCAAAAUGUACUGAGCUGUAUAUAAUUGAAAUAAACAUAUUUUCUACUUUAAAUUGCCUGUCCAGAGCACUGUUUAUAAACCUGCAUAAAUAUUUUUUUUAAAUCUGUAUCAUUUCACAAACACCAUUUCUACAGCUUUCUUAAAUGUAUUGCGUUGUGCUGCAUAGAUAGUGGAGCUGUCCCGUUAGGAACAGACAGCCUUGGGGUUUGAGGUCAGUGAAUGCGAUGGCACCCAUAGCAGCACACCUGUGACAGAACUAUAAACCUCUAACUCCUUUCAUAUGACUUCUCUCCAACUUAAAACAGCUUCAGUAUGGUUUCUGUAAGUAUUAGCAGUUGUUUUUAUUAAGGGUUUACACUAAAUGCUAAUCUAAAAAGUCACAAAUCUUUAAAGCAUCUCUCCUUGCCAUGUAGUAGUGUUUAAAUAAAGAUUUUUCCCUUGCCACGUUCAACUGUAAUACAUGGUUUAAUGUUGAAAGUAUUUAAAGGUAUUUAUAUUUAAAUGUUAAGUACAGUUAAAUGUAUAACUAAAUGUUCUUGCCAGGCGUCACCUAACCUUGUGGAUGGAUAUGCGAUCAAUUUUCAGUUAAAUUAGGCAUGUGCCAACAUUUCCGAUAUUUUUCAGGAGUUAGAAACACAACAGGAGUGCUUCUGGAUGGUUGAAGGGCAGGUAAUCGUGACCUAUUUUUAACUAUUUUUUUCCACUUCAAGGAAGAAAAAGCAUCUAUAAGAGAAGUCCUUUUUUAAAGGCAAGUCACAGAAAGAAACAAUGACAACUCUAGUCUUAACUGUCCAUGUGCUUGCUUUUAUCCCACAGUAACUUGCCAAAUCUCAAUGAAACUAUAGUAGAAACAAGAACAUGGGCAGGCGAUGAACAGCUUAUGUACUGUAAGUCCUCCCUUGAAUGUUAGCUGCUCAGUGCCAGUGUUGGCAGCCGGUUCCUGACUUCUGGAAUUGGGCAAGUACCACAGAGAAGGAGGUGGUCCUGGUGUUUCUUAGCUCUUCAGGUUCUUCUUCAGUAUAUGCACAUCAAGGGAGAGGGGGAGGUCUCUCUGGUAAAUAAUCUUAAAGAUAACAGGAACUGCAAGAUGAUGUGUUCAGAGUUUGAAUCAAAUAUUAUAUGCGAGUUAGCUUUUGAACGAAAUGUAUUGCAUUAGAGUGAGGGGGAGGGGACUGUCUCAGGAGGAAAUACCUAUCAAAUGGAUGCCUUGUAAAGUUGCGUAAUUGAAAACCAUUUUUCAUGUUUUCCCUGUGAUAUCCCUAACAAAUACAAUAAUGGAUAUAUCUUGUCCCUUGCAUUGUUUUAGACUUUCAAAGACAGCAAAAUAACGUUCAAACUUUUAAGGGAGUUUACAAUGAAACCAAGAAAUCAUGAGAUGAACUAAAACCAGGAAUCUGAUUUUGCAAUGUAACCCAUUUUGUCUUGAGCAGAGGCAGCCAGCUUAUGGAGUACUGCAGCGAGCACAGGGUCACAAUGUGCAAGACUCUCCCUUUCCCUUUCCCUUUCCCUUUCCCUUUCCCUUUCCCUUUCCCUUUCCCUUUCCCUUUCCCUUUCCCUUUCCCUUUCCCUUUCCCUUUCCCUUUCCCUUUCCCUUUCCCUUUCCCUUUCCCUUUCCCUUUCCCUUUCCCUUUCCCUUUCCCUUUCCCUUUCCCUUUCCCUUUCCCUUUCCCUUUCCCUUUCCCUUUCCCUUUCCCUUUCCCUUUCCCUUUUUCCCAUGAUAGGCUGAUGGAUCCAGAGAAGCAAUAUUGCCCCACCUUCUGUUGGAUUCCUCCAGCUCCCUCGAGCUGUUGGUGUGUUUCCAUGGGACGCAGCCCUCACUGCUUGCCUUCCCACCCUCCAUGGACACUUUACCCUUUUCAGUUGCAUCCACAUUAAUUACUUGUUGGACUAUGCAAACCAUUAAAGUUAAAAAUAAUAGGUUCCCAUGCCACAAUUCCCUCAAAAUAGGAAGAGACAUCAACUGUCUGUGGGUUAUUAGGGGAUAUUAGGUCAAUUUUGCCACUGAAGCAGCACCAUAGUUAGCAAUACUUUGAGUCAACUGCAUUACCCAAGUAAUGAGAGUGCUCACGUGCCUUAAACUGGCCUGCACAAUAGCAGAAGACACUGAUAGCCACAGCUGCCACUCCCCUGUCUGUCCUGUUCACUUCCCUGGGUGAAUGGCAUUGUCCCCGGCUCCUGGGGCAGUGCUCUGUUAAGCUCUUUUGUGUAUGUAAGCCAUGAAUUGGUGCACUGAGUAGGUUGGAAAUCAUCUUACCAACAUUAAAUCUCACUGAGAUGAAUUUCAGAGUAUUCAUUCGUUGUAGUAUCUCCAUAUGUGAAAUAUGGAUAAUGAGUGUUUUACAUGGGAGUUGUAAUUAGCUGCUUCACAUGCUAAUUCAGGACAUUGUUCUUUUCCACAUAUAGCUCUAGAAGCCCUCAGAUCCUUGAUUUGCUGGAAAAAUGUCUCCUAAAAGCAAAAAUAAAGUUUUAUGAAAAGAUCUAUUAAAGCUAGAGUAAGUUUUAUGUAUCAGUGUGGGGUUGUAGGAUACAUGAAACUGAAGAACUUUAUCUACACAUGCAGAAAGCUUUUCUACAUAAGCAGCAAUUUUAGCAAACUAGUAUUUUCUGUGAUCUUGUAAAUCCUGCUGCCAGCAUGUCAUCUGUCCUAGUGUGAUGCAGAUGCCCAUCAUGAGGGAAGAGAGAAGUGAUGGUGAGACCCAAUUUGAAGGUUCGCCCCAAAAUGCUAACACUGGUUUUGCAGGGAGAGAGGCUGGGUGAAGAUGAUGUGCUUCCUUACUGGGUACUGGAGGUGUCCUUUCAUUAGGCGGACGUAUUUCACCCCACAACAGUAGUUGUGGUAAUAAAAGUAUUUCAACUGCAUGUAUGACUGACUUCCUUUUAGGAUUAAGGUAGAUUAUUUGGCCCCUUUAGAGCCUGCGAGUUUGGGAUAGCUUUAUAGUGGCCUCCAGAUUUUCUUCUGCACCAGUCCUUUCCUAAUCCUAUGUAACUUCAUUUCUUGAUCUCUGCUGACCUGUGACACCCAAUUCUAUCUUCAUUCUGAAUAUCUACGACUUUCCUUUUAGUGUUUGCCCUCCUUGCUUUCUUCAUUGGACUUCAUUGCUCCACCUUCAUAUUUUUACAGAAUUUCUGUCUUCAGCUUCCCAUAUAAGUAUGUGAAACUGUUUUAUUCUUUUAAAGGAUAUUUUUCUCUUGUUAGUUUACAAAAACAUGAACGUGUUUUCCUCCCACAUCAAUGCUCAGGUGUAACAAUGCUGGGCAUGUUACAAAUAGCUAAUAAAAAAGAUAGGUUCAAAGUGAAUGUGUGGAACUGCUGAACUGGGAUGUCACUUUACGGUCUGUAUUUGAGUACUGCAUCAGAAGCCAAGGUAGAGGUUUUAUUCCCUGCUCUAGAAUGACUGCUGGUACAUGGGAACUUGGAUACACAGGAGAGAAAUGACUUACCACGAAUUACUAGGUAAUGGACUGUUCCCGUCUGCCAAAUAGAUGGAGUUUCAUUUGGAAACUUCAGUUUUCCCCAUGGCUUGGUUGAUACAGACUGUUUAUUCUCUUUAUUGAAUGUGUUAACAAGAAAAAAAGGGUGAACCGCAAGACUUUGGCCUGUUAGGGAUUUAACAAUGAACGAGGAUAACAGCGUAUUGUAUUUUAAAAUGAUUUUCAAAGCUUUUCAAAAAUAUUUGUCUGUCAACAUGAAAAUCCAGCCAGUUUACCUGGUAAAAGCCCAGCAUUCUCUUGUCUGUGACCUAUAAAUUGCUUGCCUUGAGUUUACAAAAGUUUUUUUUUUCCUGUGAGUGACCUUUGGAUUUUAACAAUUUAAUAACUAACAGGCAAGACCUUAGAUGUGGAGUUGAGCUCUGCACACCCCCUGGCUUGGUUCUGAGCAGUGACUGCUUGCUGGCAAGGGAAGUAAACCAAAUAAAACCACAAUGUCAACACGUGUCAAAGCUGUGGAGUAAGACCUGUCUGAGGUCAAUAUACCCCCUUCUAAUAAUAACAUUUGAAGGCUAUGUUCCAGUGUACUUCCAUUGAGGUAACUGAACAAACUAAGGUUGUUAAUGAAUGAGGUAAAGUGAUUUUAGCGAUCUAAAAAAUUGUGAGUAAAGAUUUGUUGCGUACAGUUCUUGCUAAAAUGCUUUCACAUUUUGCAUUGAUAGGAAAGAAGAAACAACGGAUUUGGUUACUUGCCUCUAUUUCUUUUUUCCAAUUGUCUCAUUCUGUACUGUGUACGUAGUUAAUCAAUGUCCACACAUCUGCGUGCUGAUCUGUAGCACUUGCAGGUUCAAGUCUAACACCACAACAGUUGGUCCGGAUUGCCCAUUGCCUUCUUGAUGUCUGACUGAGAGGAUUUACUCUGAAGGAUAAAAGAGAAAAUGUUUUACCAGACUGCUGUGUUUGAAAUAAAAAUAAUUUCAUGGUCGUAAUGCUGGGGAUAACACAAUGUCAUUGUCAUGCUGUUUAGUAAAAGAACUGAGGAUUUUAAGUGUUGAGAAUGUGCUUAGCUGUGAUUACAGGUGUUUACCGUAUUUUUAUGAUGUUGAAUUGUAAAGAUCUGUGAGAUUUUGUGUUGCAGUUGUGUUUGACCCUAGAGUUCUUGCAUGCUAACCUAACGUAGAAGAUUAGCCUCUUUGCAUGCAGCUGGGUGCUGCUACUGCCGUGACAAGCAUGCUCUGUGAGAAUGACAUAACCUCCCCUGGCUGCAGCCCCUUCCCAGUCCUGUCUGUGGCCUCAUUUCCUGUGACAGGCUGAGGAAACUCAUUGAUGAACGGGAAUCCUUACUAGACCAGGU
RNA transcript from Cygnus olor (mute swan), 9728 nucleotides. It is a transcript of the gene named LRR binding FLII interacting protein 1, with no coding region annotated. The transcript has 11 exons. NCBI's taxonomy places the organism in Eukaryota, Metazoa, Chordata, Aves, Anseriformes, Anatidae. The record is from RefSeq and is a predicted model, not a curated record.